RNAcentral lists this ribosomal RNA (253 nucleotides) under uncultured bacterium. RNAcentral describes it as "partial 16S ribosomal RNA". It matches the Rfam family "Bacterial small subunit ribosomal RNA", at positions 524 to 776 of the family's 1533-position model. The record is from RNAcentral.
UACGUAGGGUGCAAGCGUUGUCCGGAAUUAUUGGGCGUAAAGAGCUCGUAGGCGGUCUGUCGCGUCGAAUGUGAAAACCCGGGGCUCAACCCCGGGCUUGCAUUCGAUACGGGCAGACUAGAGUUCGGUAGGGGAGUCUGGAAUUCCUGGUGUAGCGGUGAAAUGCGCAGAUAUCAGGAGGAACACCGGUGGCGAAGGCGGGACUCUGGGCCGAUACUGACGCUGAGGAGCGAAAGCGUGGGGAGCAAACAGG